RNAcentral lists this transfer RNA (119 nucleotides) under Microcaldota archaeon. RNAcentral describes it as "tRNA-Leu". The record is from RNAcentral. Lineage: Archaea; Nanobdellati; Microcaldota.
GCGGAGAUGGCAGAGUCCGGUCAAAUGCGCGAGGCUUAGGACCUCGUGCCCUAGUGGCUGCGGGGGUUCCGGCUUUUUCGGGGUCCGAAAUUUGCCGCCCAAAAAUCCUCCUCUCCGCA